GGUGUUAUGUGAUUGUGGUGAUUGAUUGGUGUGGUUGUUUGCAACGUGUAGAUUGUGCGGAGUGCGACGCCAACUAUUGUCAGGAGUGUGACUUUCUGAACCAGAAUCAAGGCAAGUUACAUGUUGAUCACCCUUUACCUAUUAUUUUUUUCUAUGCAUGUAGUAUUAUACCACCCUAUGAAGAUUAUGCAUGUAUAGGAAGAUUAUUAUUGCUAUGCUAGUGAGCUAUAUCCCCUCGUCAUUGAAGAUCGUG
RNAcentral lists this long non-coding RNA (253 nucleotides) under Hordeum vulgare. RNAcentral's name for it is "long non-coding RNA (HVUL_LNC010941)". Lineage: Eukaryota; Viridiplantae; Streptophyta; Magnoliopsida; Poales; Poaceae. The record is from RNAcentral.